Molecule: long non-coding RNA, 3894 nt
Filed under: Lactuca sativa (garden lettuce)
Lineage: Eukaryota; Viridiplantae; Streptophyta; Magnoliopsida; Asterales; Asteraceae
Description: long non-coding RNA (LSAT_LNC006997)
Source: RNAcentral
CUAAACAAGCUCUUAGAAUUAGAUUAUAAGAUUGCAUGAAGCUUUAUGUGAAUGUUCCCAACAACACCCAAUACUCCUCAUAAGCUCGGGAGUGUAAAAGUGUAUGAAUAAGAUUUACACUAAAUUCAUUCAAUAGAGAUCAAUUUAAUGCUUGUUACUUGUUCAAUUUCACAAAACAAUUAUGGAUUUUGUAAAAGAGAUAACUUGAAUGACCUAACCCUAAUUCAAAUGGCCAAUAAGAAUCACAAUUAGAAUCAAACAUUCGAUUGAAGCAAAAUCAAAUUCAUUAGAUAGAAAUUAAGAACAAACAUCAAGUCAUAUGAUUAGAUUCACAACUAGAAAGUCAAAACAUGAGUUGGAGAAAUUAGGGUUCUAGCCACACAUGGCUAGAACAAGAUCACAAGUCUAAAAGAUGAAAUUAAGUGUAAUUACAGCUUACAAAAACAAGAAUUAAUGUUUCCAAAUGAUUGACGGGCAAACCCUUGCAAAAACCUUCGAAUUCUCCUCUCCAAUGGUGCUCUGAUAUGUUGUGUGUGUGUAAAAAUGGCUCUUAACCCGUAAUACGAAAGAUAGGAAAAAUUGUCAAAAGUUGGUUUUUGGGUCGAACACGACCCGUGUUAAAAUAGGCUAAACUGACACGGGUCGUGUUCAACAACACGCCCCGUGUUGAUUUGCACUAAACUGACACGCCCUUGUUCAACAUGGUCAACAACUCCCAUUUUGGUCAAACACGCCCCGUGCCCACUUUUUAGUGUAAAUUCAACACACCCCGUGUACCUCUCUAAAUCCAAUUCCAAACUUGAUUUUUCCAACUUUUUCGUUCUUCGCCCGAUCAUCCUGAAAUCUUCGCCAAUGCUUCCCGACACUUCCCAAAGCGUGCUCCAACCUCCGGUUCACCUAAAAAGGGCAUGAAAAUGGUGCAAAUAAGGUUGUUCACGAAGUUAACACAGAUAUGAUGAAAUGCAAUAAAAGUAAAGAACAAUUAUUCUAAAAACAUAAAUAAAAAGGGCUAAAAGUUGUGCAAAAAUGGUGCACAAAAUGCAUCUAACAAAUCUCCCCAAGCUUAGACCUUUCUUGUCCUCAAGAAAAAACAAGAAACAGACAAAACAGGACGAUUUCUAGAUGACAAAAAGAAACUUAGAACAAAAAGGGACGGAAAGGAUCCUAAAGGUUAAGAAUGAAUGCAUGCAAUGUAAUGCCAUGAAAAUUUAAGGUAUGUACAAAAUGCACUUGAGAAACAAAAUGAAGCAAAAGAAAAGAAGAUUAAGAACAAACACAAAAUAUGUAUUUUUGUAACUAAAUAAAGGUACGAUCAGACUUUACAUCAAUAAGGCUUCGAUCAUUGAUACCUUGGCAACCAUCCUGUUUCCUUCCACAUAUCACAGACUCUCAAUGUGAGGAAGACCCGAAACGGUGUAACCCAAUAAUCCAACCAAAGUUUUAUUUAAUCUUUAUACCUUACUAAGCUUUAUGGGCGAAAAUAACAGAGUCCGGAUCUCAUGUCCUUAAGACUAGAUGGCCAAGAAUCAGAAUCGACGCAUCCUUAAGAACCCGUCAUGGCGAAUCAGCUUUCGCUGAAACAGUAAGCCCACCCGAAGGGGCCCAGCUCCUAUGCUUUCACUUUUUCGAGAGCCACAAGUAUCAUAUCACACAGUUCUUCAUUCGCCAGAUUUGACUUGAAUUGGCUUUUGAUUUGAUUGAACUUUGAUUUGUACUUCGUUUUGAAUUUGGAUUCUUCAAUCUUCAUUUUUGGAAUUUCUUUAGAUUUCUUCGUUUUCGCAUUUGAAAUUCUGAUUUAGGUACUAGAUAUGACAGUUGUACCCUUCCUUCUUUCUUGACUGUGUGGAUCUGAUACUUAAGCUCUCUGUUACCGCGGGGGUAACGCGUGUCAACAAAUAGGUCCGUGUUCUGUGGGUUCAGAGUUGCCGAUAAAGAUUCUUUUUAAACAUUCAAAAGCAAAUCAUCCUAAAGCUGUUAUUACCGCCCAAAAAACGUUUCAAUAUAAAUUCUUUUUAUUAUCUAAGGCUAGGGUCUCGAAUUACGAUGUUUGGGUCCCCUAGUUAUGACAGCUGAUUCUAUGCUUCCGGUAACAAUCUGGUCGCUUCAGUAUUUUUUUUUUCAUUUUGAUUUUUCGUUUUUCCACUUUAAGGAGCACUUGUAUGUAAAGAGUGUCAUCAUCCCGUACAUUUUUUUGUUUGUUUGUUUUUUUGUUUUUUUUGUUUUUUUAUUUUUUUGUUUUUUUGUUUUUUUGUUUUUUUUUUUUUUUGAAAAUGCAUGCAUGAAUAUGAAAUGAAAAAAUUGGUAAAAUGCAAAAACUUGAAAUAUAAACUUUUUUUUUUUGAAAAUGCAUGAAUGAACAUGAAUGAACCUAGUGUACAACUCUACCCCUCCCCAAGCUUGAAUAUAAGCAUCGUCCCCGAUGCUUGGAGAGGGCGGAACAACCUAUCUAAUCACUGGAAGGUGGUGAGGGAUGGUAGUCGAGUUGGGUAAGAGUCUAAAACAGUCACAAGUGCACACAUUGAAUUUUAAAGCAAAAUAUGAAUGAUUAAAGAUAUGGAAAGAAUUUACCAAAUCGUUCUUGGAGCCUUGUAGUUGGUGGGAACCUCCUCUUCAUCCUCCCCAAGCUAUCCGUGAAGUAUUUUUGGAGCCGGAGAUUCAUUUUCUAGGCAUAAAAAUAAGUUAAAACCAUUUGGGACAUAAAAAAAUGAAAUUUACCAAAGACUAAAAAGUUUUAAAAGAAAGGAAACAAAUNAUCUCCCUACAAGGUCCAUGGUGGUGAAAACUGCAUUUAAUGCAUUUUGGGAGAUUUCCAUCAUAAAGCCUGGCUGGUUUAGGGACCAUUGGGAUGCCUGAAGGGAUGGUGGUUGGAGGUGCUGAUGUUGUGGCUGUGAAGGUUGUUACUGGUGGUUGNUUUUUUUUUAAAGCACCUGCUCACAAAAUGCUUGGCACAAACAAUUAGUAACACCGUGUCCCCGACAACGACGCCAAUUUGUUAAGGGUGUCAAACCCAACAAAUAAAGGGGCACGAUAUACUCCAAAAUAAUCCCACUAUAUUGCACUAAAAGGUAGUACAAGGCAAGCAGGGUCGAUCCACAGAGACACGGGAUAAUUAGUCUAUACCUCUUUGCGCAAGGUACUAUGGUCACCAACAGUAAAGAGGGGGGGGGGUUAGAAUAAAAUAAUUAAAACAAACACUAAAAAACACAAGUAAUCAACUAAGAAGGUGAAUUAAAUCUAGAAAAGGUAAGGACUCCAACCUCAUGUAUGACAACNCGACCCCAACCUCAUGUAUGACAACUUAGCAAUGUGAUUCCAAAAUAACAUGAUAUUUGUUUAAUUCUAUCUAAGUUGGUACUUGAAAGUGUUAACAAGCUCUAACACUUCCCAUUCACCACAUUAAUUAACCAAAACAAGCUCUUUGAUUAACCCUAACCUUAAUAACCUAAUCUAAACAAGCUCUUAGAAUUAGAUUAUAAAAUUGCAUGAAGCUUUAUGUGAAUGUUCCCAACAAUAUGCAAUACUCCUCAUAAGCUCGGGAGUGUAAAAGUGUAUGAAUAAGAUUUACACUAAAUUCAUUCAAUAGAGAUCAAUUUAAUGCUUGUUACUUGUUCAAUUUCACAAAACAAUUAUGGAUUUUGUAAAAGAGAUAACUUGAAUGACCUAACCCUAAUUCAAAUGGCCAAUAAGAAUCACAAUUAGAAUCAAACAUUCGAUUGAAGCAAAAUCAAAUUCAUUAGAUAGAAAUUAAGAACAAACAUCAUGUCAUAUGAUUGAAGUCACUACCAAGAAGUCAAAACAUGAAAUUGGAGAAACUAGGGUUCUAGCCACACAUGGCUAGAACAAGAUCACAAGACUAAAAGAUGAAAUUAAGUGUAAUUACAACUUACAAAAACA